RNAcentral lists this ribosomal RNA (218 nucleotides) under uncultured bacterium. RNAcentral's name for it is "partial 16S ribosomal RNA". It matches the Rfam family "Bacterial small subunit ribosomal RNA", at positions 328 to 539 of the family's 1533-position model. The record is from RNAcentral.
ACGCUCGACACCUACGUGAGGCAGCAGUGAGGAAUAUUGGUCAAUGGGCGCAGGCCUGAACCAGCCAAGUAGCGUGAAGGAUGACUGCCCUAUGGGUUGUAAACUUCUUUUAUAUGGGAAUAAAGUUUUCCACGUGUGGAAUUUUGUAUGUACCAUAUGAAUAAGGAUCGGCUAACUCCGUGCUAGCAGCCGCGGUAAUCUGAGCGGGCUGGCAAGGC